This 1430-nucleotide ribosomal RNA is filed under the name Lactiplantibacillus plantarum. RNAcentral's name for it is "bacterial SSU rRNA". It matches the Rfam family "Bacterial small subunit ribosomal RNA". The record is from RNAcentral. Lineage: Bacteria; Bacillati; Bacillota; Bacilli; Lactobacillales; Lactobacillaceae.
GCAAGUCGAACGAACUCUGGUAUUGAUUGGUGCUUGCAUCAUGAUUUACAUUUGAGUGAGUGGCGAACUGGUGAGUAACACGUGGGAAACCUGCCCAGAAGCGGGGGAUAACACCUGGAAACAGAUGCUAAUACCGCAUAACAACUUGGACCGCAUGGUCCGAGUUUGAAAGAUGGCUUCGGCUAUCACUUUUGGAUGGUCCCGCGGCGUAUUAGCUAGAUGGUGAGGUAACGGCUCACCAUGGCAAUGAUACGUAGCCGACCUGAGAGGGUAAUCGGCCACAUUGGGACUGAGACACGGCCCAAACUCCUACGGGAGGCAGCAGUAGGGAAUCUUCCACAAUGGACGAAAGUCUGAUGGAGCAACGCCGCGUGAGUGAAGAAGGGUUUCGGCUCGUAAAACUCUGUUGUUAAAGAAGAACAUAUCUGAGAGUAACUGUUCAGGUAUUGACGGUAUUUAACCAGAAAGCCACGGCUAACUACGUGCCAGCAGCCGCGGUAAUACGUAGGUGGCAAGCGUUGUCCGGAUUUAUUGGGCGUAAAGCGAGCGCAGGCGGUUUUUUAAGUCUGAUGUGAAAGCCUUCGGCUCAACCGAAGAAGUGCAUCGGAAACUGGGAAACUUGAGUGCAGAAGAGGACAGUGGAACUCCAUGUGUAGCGGUGAAAUGCGUAGAUAUAUGGAAGAACACCAGUGGCGAAGGCGGCUGUCUGGUCUGUAACUGACGCUGAGGCUCGAAAGUAUGGGUAGCAAACAGGAUUAGAUACCCUGGUAGUCCAUACCGUAAACGAUGAAUGCUAAGUGUUGGAGGGUUUCCGCCCUUCAGUGCUGCAGCUAACGCAUUAAGCAUUCCGCCUGGGGAGUACGGCCGCAAGGCUGAAACUCAAAGGAAUUGACGGGGGCCCGCACAAGCGGUGGAGCAUGUGGUUUAAUUCGAAGCUACGCGAAGAACCUUACCAGGUCUUGACAUACUAUGCAAAUCUAAGAGAUUAGACGUUCCCUUCGGGGACAUGGAUACAGGUGGUGCAUGGUUGUCGUCAGCUCGUGUCGUGAGAUGUUGGGUUAAGUCCCGCAACGAGCGCAACCCUUAUUAUCAGUUGCCAGCAUUAAGUUGGGCACUCUGGUGAGACUGCCGGUGACAAACCGGAGGAAGGUGGGGAUGACGUCAAAUCAUCAUGCCCCUUAUGACCUGGGCUACACACGUGCUACAAUGGAUGGUACAACGAGUUGCGAACUCGCGAGAGUAAGCUAAUCUCUUAAAGCCAUUCUCAGUUCGGAUUGUAGGCUGCAACUCGCCUACAUGAAGUCGGAAUCGCUAGUAAUCGCGGAUCAGCAUGCCGCGGUGAAUACGUUCCCGGGCCUUGUACACACCGCCCGUCACACCAUGAGAGUUUGUAACACCCAAAGUCGGUGGGGUAACCUUUUAGAACCAGC